RNAcentral lists this long non-coding RNA (1631 nucleotides) under Coffea arabica (coffee). RNAcentral describes it as "long non-coding RNA (CARA_LNC008289)". Lineage: Eukaryota; Viridiplantae; Streptophyta; Magnoliopsida; Gentianales; Rubiaceae. The record is from RNAcentral.
CCAAGCUCAGCCUCUUCACAAGCCAUCUCUUCCCUUUCAAUUUGCAUGGGUGUUAGAGCAUUACAAAUAAAUUUCUCAUCAAAAAUUGAUUGAUUGAUCAUUCCCCCACUCAGAAUUAUGAUCAUAAGGCUCCUUAGCAGUCAAAGAACUGAACUCAUUAAGUCUCCUCCAAAGAUAAGUACAAAAUUGUCAUGUACAUGUUUAUUCAACAGGUUUUCAAGAUUUCAAUGGAUAGGCAUCAACUGAAGUUUGUUUCAUCCAAGCACAAGCACCAAAAUGAUAUCAUAAACUUGUGAAUGCUUGUUCAUAGUACAAGAAGAUUGACAGGAAGACAAAUUCAAAUGCUACUCCAAAAUCAGCAUGCCACAAUCGACACGAAGCUUAACUAUUGAGCUUAAUCCAAUCAUCAAGAACAACUCCUUUGUUUUUGUGCAUCAAGUCAAGAGUUGAAACCCCGCCUAACACAUCACACAAAAAUCAUAGUGCUUCUUAUUCUUAAAAUAUACAGAGAGACUGUACUAGUGCAACCAGUCUCUGUUUAGGCUUCCCCUCCCCAUAAAAUAUUAGUAGGAAUAGGUUAAGAUAGUUUAAAAAAAAAAUACACGAGGAUUACUAGGCUGUCGGUCUUAAGCAACCAAAAAUACAGCACAAAACCAAAAAAAAAAAGAAACAACAACCACCCUCCAGCCCAAGCAAAACAAGGAAUACCCUCCUUUGAACAAUGUCGACCAACUAGGCUAUUUCGAACAACCAAAAGAAGGGAGCUAUUUGGAUCAACUAGGCUAUCUGAGCUGGAAAACAGGCGAUACCCUCCUUCGAACUAUGUCUUGAAUCUGUUCCUCAGACAAAAUUGAUGCCUCUAUCUCAAAAUUGGCUCUCUCCAUCUGCUGCUGAAUCUACAGAACCCCCAAAAAAAAAAAAAUGGCACUUAGCAGAUAAAUAUAAAGUUUUAUGCAAAUGAAGAGGAUUUACAUCUCCAAAGGAUUUCAAACCUGCAUGACUUUAGGUUGAUUACAGUCAACCUUACCAAAUAUCAAGCUAAGAAUCGUGGUUAAGCAACAAUAGCUUAUAUAAGAGUUCAAGUCGUACCUUCUCCAGGACUGCAGACUGGUCAUCUAGAUGAAAAUUGCGCAUGUAUUUUAGCAUCUCCAGUUGCUGCAAAAAGUAUUAAGCCUCACGUUUCUGUAAAAUCAUUUUGUCCAGUGGAUUCUAACUAAAAGUCAAAGAAUCUUCACCUGCUCUUGUAAUUUAUGUUGCAUAUGCAUUCUUUCUGCAAAUUUUUCUGGUCCAAGCUCAGCCUCUUCACAAGCCAUCUCUUCCCUUUCAAUUUGCAUGGGUGUUAGAGCAUUACAAAUAAAUUUCUCAUCAAAAAUUGAUUGAUUGAUCAUUCCCCCACUCAGAAUUAUGAUCAUAAGGCUCCUUAGCAGUCAAAGAACUGAACUCAUUAAGUCUCCUCCAAAGAUAAGUACAAAAUUGUCAUGUACAUGUUUAUUCAACAGGUUUUCAAGAUUUCAAUGGAUAGGCAUCAACUGAAGUUUGUUUCAUCCAAGCACAAGCACCAAAAUGAUAUCAUAAACUUUUGAUAGAACUUUUAACCAUGCCUUCCCUCACCCCCUCUCCCCAUCCCCCCC